UUUAUGCACGUGGUAGGAGAGCGUUCUAGCGGCGGUGAAGCAUGACCGAGAGGACAUGUGGAGCUUCUAGAAGUGAGAAUGCCGGUAUGAGUAACGAAAGACAGGUGAGAAUCCUGUCCGCCGCAAGACUAAGGUUUCCUGGGGCAGGCUCGUCCGCCCAGGGUAAGUCGGGACCUAAGGCGAGGCCGAGAGGCGUAGUCGAUGGACAACAGGUUGAAAUUCCUGUACUGCACCGAAUCGUUAUGAGCGAUGGAGGGACGCAGGAGGCUAGCAGCGCGUGGUGCUGGAUACCACGUUCAAGCGUCAAGUCUGAGAGCGAGUCAAAUGCUUGCUCUCAUAAGGACAAGGCGUGAUGAGGAGCGAAAUUAAAGUAGCGAAGGCUGCGACGUCACACUGCCGAGAAAAGCUUCUAGCCAGAGACGGUGCACCCGUACCGCAAACCGACACAGGUAGUCGAGGAGAGUAUCCUCAGGUGAGCGAGAGAACUCUCGUUAAGGAACUCGGCAAAAUGGCCCCGUAACUUCGGGAGAAGGGGCGCUGGUCGCAAGAUCAGCCGCAGUGAAAAGGCCCAAGCAACUGUUUAUCAAAAACACAGGCAUCUGCAAAAUCGUAAGAUGAAGUAUAGGUGCUGACACCUGCCCGGUGCUGGAAGGUUAAGAGGAGAGCUUAGCGCAAGCGAAGGUUUGAAUUGAAGCCCCAGUAAACGGCGGCCGUAACUAUAACGGUCCUAAGGUAGCGAAAUUCCUUGUCGGGUAAGUUCCGACCUGCACGAAAGGUGUAAUGAUUUGGGCACUGUCUCAACGAGAGACUCGGUGAAAUUAUAAUACCCGUGAAGAUGCGGGUUACCCGCGACAGGACGGAAAGACCCCAUGGAGCUUUACUGCAGUUUAAUAUUGGGUAUCUGUCAAGCAUGUACAGGAUAGGUAGGAGCCGGAGAAGAUAGGACGCCAGUCUUAUCAGAGGCGCUGUUGGGAUACUACCCUUGCUUGACGGAUGCUCUAACUCAGGCCUGUGAUCCAGGCCGAGGACAGUGUUUGACGGGCAGUUUGACUGGGGCGGUCGCCUCCUAAAGUGUAACGGAGGCGCCCAAAGGUUCCCUCAGAAUGGUUGGAAAUCAUUCGCAGAGUGUAAAGGUAAAAGGGAGCUUGACUGCGAGAGAGACAACUCGAGCAGGUACGAAAGUAGGGCUUAGUGAUCUGGUGGUACCGUAUGGAAGGGCCAUCACUCAACGGAUAAAAGCUACCCUGGGGAUAACAGGCUUAUCUCCCCCAAGAGUUCACAUCGACGGGGAGGUUUGGCACCUCGAUGUCGGCUCGUCGCAUCCUGGGGCUGAAGUCGGUCCCAAGGGUUGGGCUGUUCGCCCAUUAAAGCGGCACGCGAGCUGGGUUCAGAACGUCGUGAGACAGUUCGGUCCCUAUCCGUCGUGGGCGUAGGAAAUUUGAGAGGAGCUGUCCUUAGUACGAGAGGACCGGGAUGGACGCACCGCUGGUGUACCAGUUGUCUUGCCAAAGGCAUCGCUGGGUAGCUAUGUGCGGACGGGAUAAGCGCUGAAAGCAUCUAAGUGCGAAGCCCCCCUCAAGAUGAGAUUUCCCAUUUCUUCAAGAAAGUAAGACACCUCAGAGACGAUGAGGUAGAUAGGCCGGGAGUGGAAGAGC
Molecule: ribosomal RNA, 1655 nt
Filed under: Lactobacillus delbrueckii subsp. bulgaricus
Lineage: Bacteria; Bacillati; Bacillota; Bacilli; Lactobacillales; Lactobacillaceae
Description: partial 23S ribosomal RNA
Rfam family: Bacterial large subunit ribosomal RNA
Source: RNAcentral